Molecule: unclassified non-coding RNA, 2004 nt
Filed under: Hevea brasiliensis (rubber tree)
Lineage: Eukaryota; Viridiplantae; Streptophyta; Magnoliopsida; Malpighiales; Euphorbiaceae
Source: RNAcentral
CCUCGCAUCUCAAGCUCGCCUGCUCAUCCUUCCCGCUGCACACAAAGAGCAUAAUAAAAUAGCAGGUUCGAGUAGUAUGUGAGUACUAGUAAUUGGAUUUGGAACAAGUUUAGAUAGUAUACUUCAUGGGUUUGGAUACUUCAAAAUUCGUGGGUAACCUAUCAUUGCCAUCCCUAAGUGGAUCUAUAGCCCCAAGUCCAUUGUAGCAGAAAGCUUCUCCCUUGUACACUCCGAGCAGCCCAAACAAGAGGGAGGAAGGGAGAGCAGCCAUCGGGGCUAUCCCAAAUAUCCCCAAUUCCGGAGGCAUCGUCUGAGAUCCACUCAUGUUAAUCACUAUUUGAACUUAUCAUCUUUGGCAGCAAGUAGCAACAGUGAAGCUCAGAAUUUCUGCUUAUAAAAUGUGCUCAAUACAAAGCUCGUUUCUUCCAUUAAUAGACUUGUUCUCUUUGAGCACCAAUUCUCUUCCAAAGCUCAAAAAUGAUCCUGCUUUUCUUCGACUACCAUUACCUAAAGCCUAUAAUCAUCACUCAAGCUUAAGGGCUGUGUUGUCCAUAGAAGAAGUUCCCCCAAAUGCCCUUCGUCGGAAGAGUGAUCCACAAUGGAGAGGAGGGUUCAGUUUAGGGGUAGACUUGGGUUUGUCUCGAACUGGCCUUGCCAUCAGCAAGGGUUUCUCUGUUCGUCCUCUCAUGGUUUUGGAGUUGCGUGGACAAAAGCUUGAGCUUCGGCUUCUUGAAAUUGCUGAAAAUGAGGUUAAAAUUUCUCUCUCAAUGCACCUAAAAAACAAAGAAGUCAUUGAUUUUUUCCCCCAUUAAUUUUGGUAAUUGAGAAACUGUAGGAGGUAGAUGAGUUUAUAAUUGGGAUUCCUAAAUCUUGGGAUGGAAAGGAGACUCCUCAAUCCAACAAAGUUCGUAGUGUUGCUGGAAGGCUUGCUGUUCGAGCAGCUGAAAGGGGUUGGAGAGUAUAUCUACAGGAUGAACAUGGGACAUCAACAGAAGCUACUUACCGAAUGAUUAAUAUGUAAGCAUUACAUUUCAUAAUUAACUUUUCAUAUUGAAUAGUUAUUGGUCACAGGUUAAUCUGUGCAUUGCUUUUGUCCAUCUCUGAAAAUUUUGAAUUCUGAGGAUUCCCUUGGGGUUGCAAGGGUAAUGAGUUAUUUCCCCUAAAACAUUUCAGGGCAUCUGAACAUGCAUGUUACUUCUGCUAUUUGGGCAUCACCAUUAUCACCAAGAUGCAUUUUAAUGAGCAGUUUGGACUUUUUUUAUCAUUUAUAAAAUUUAUAGGGGUUUCUUUUGAAAUUGAACCCAAUGGGCAUUGAAAUACACAAUUUGUUCAAGAACUUAAUUUCACAUCAUCAUUUGAAAAUGUAAAAUUAGAAAUAAUGCACAAGAUUUUGUAAUAGCUAGUGGGAUGUUAUGCAGUUGCUUUGAGGCAAACAAGGCUGAUAUAGAUAGAAUCUGUACAAGUGAGGGAAUAAUUAUGUCUAAAACUCUUUCAGGGGCCUCAGCAAGGGUGCUCGGCAAAAGAGCAUUGAUGUCUAUGCAGCUGUGGUAUGCAAUGAAAUUGUAUUUCCUCUUAUGAGAAGGAUAUUGCCAUAUGCACUAUAUUAUCUUUUUUUAGCAUUUUCUGGUUGCAGAUGGUAUUAGAGAGAUAUUUUCAGACAUCAGGGGAGGGAACUGAACUUGUACUACCGAAGCAAUUCAAUCUACAAGAUAAACUUCUUAAAGGUCCUCCCAAGGACAUCGAUUUUUAUCCAGAAUAAUUCCGUGGUUGAUAUUCUAAUUUUCUUUCCAAACGAAGAUUCAGAAUUUCAAGCAAUUCUUUGAUAAUAUGUCAACAUGGUUGGUAGGCCAUAAUAGAAUGAAUUUUGAAUUCAUUUUUCUAUUCAAUUUUUGUGGGAUCACAAUGUAUGCACUAAUGUAUAUAGAGGAAAAUAAUUUUGUACAACGUAAACAUAAUUGUACAUACAAGAGUUUACGAUAUUGAUUAGAGAUUUUGAUUUCAUGU